CGCGUAGGCUGUUGAGUAAGUCAAAUGUGAAAUCCCCGGGCUUAACCUGGGAACUGCAUUCGAUACUGCUUAGCUAGAGUAUGGUAGAGGGAAGUGGAAUUCCGGGUGUAGCGGUGAAAUGCGUAGAUAUCCGGAGGAACACCAGUGGCGAAGGCGACUUCCUGGGCCAAUACUGACGCUGAGGUGCGAAAGCGUGGGGAGCAAACA
Molecule: ribosomal RNA, 207 nt
Filed under: uncultured bacterium
Lineage: Bacteria
Description: partial 16S ribosomal RNA
Rfam family: Bacterial small subunit ribosomal RNA
Source: RNAcentral